Long non-coding RNA from Homo sapiens (human), 636 nucleotides. RefSeq lists it as uncharacterized. NCBI's taxonomy places the organism in Eukaryota, Metazoa, Chordata, Mammalia, Primates, Hominidae. The record is from RefSeq and is a predicted model, not a curated record. The transcript has 2 exons.
AAAAAUGUACUAAUGAUUCACAAGUAAACUUACAGCCAUCUUUCUUUAUGCAGAUCACUGAUAGCACAGAACUGUCCCUCUCCGGGGAGAUAGGGUACAGAGAGGGCAGCCACCUCGAAAGAGAAGAUAGCCCUCUCCAAGCUGCUUCAAUCCUCAACUCAGCCAGCCUAUUGCCAGCCAGUCUUCAUCUGGAGCCCAAGGCUUCCAGAGGCCACCACCUGCUUCCGCCUGCAGCCCCUUCCUCCAUCUGCACAGCCAGCCACGCUGCAUCUCCUGACAGUUCUGUGGGCACAGCUCCCUCAACCGCAUCUGGGAAGGAGUCUCCACUUUGAAGGACUCGUGUGAUUCCAGCGAGCCCACCUGGAAAAUCCAGAAUAAUUUCUCUACCUCACGGUCCGUAUCUUAGUCACAUCUGCAGAGUCCCUUUCACCAUGGAAGGCGACCCAGCCACAGGUCUGGGGACUGCACAUAAGCAUCUCUGGAGCCAUGAUUCUGCCUACCACAUGUGCUAGUAAAAGAAAGCUCUCCGUGUCUUGUUCUAACAUCACUACAUGCCUCUCUUUAUGUGUCUUGAAUUUUGCAUAUUCUUAACAUGAUUUCAACAGUAACAACAACAAUAAAAAACUUGUGACCCCA